Canis lupus familiaris (dog) is the source of this 456-nucleotide long non-coding RNA. RefSeq lists it as uncharacterized. The transcript is spliced from 3 exons. The record is from RefSeq and is a predicted model, not a curated record. NCBI's taxonomy places the organism in Eukaryota, Metazoa, Chordata, Mammalia, Carnivora, Canidae.
GGCCGCCGGCCCCGCCCCCUCCCCGUACGGGGACAACUGGGGAAGCUUCAGCACCGACUCGGCGUCGUCAAGAAGCAGGCCGGGUUGCCAGAUAAGGAACACCUUUGAAAGAGCUGAAGUCACUCGCCCGAUGUCCACAGCUCGUAAGCGGCAGAGUCAGGACUCGAACGCAGGACUUAGCAGCAGACCAGACACGCUCCCAGGAGGCGCCCAAGCACAUUUUUAGGGAGGAACCGCCAGGCUCACCGUGCCAUCACCCUCCCAAAACAAAGCAUAUUGAUAGCAAAUUAAAUACCACUGAAUUAGCCACAACACUUACAUAAAGCUAUAGUUUCAAAAUAUUCCAGGUCAUGAAAAGCUUCCAAUAUCAACGACAACAACAACAACAACAAAAAGCCACCUACUUCAAUUUCCCACCAAACACUCCCACAAAUAAACAAUUUCUGAUAAAACUGA